Molecule: ribosomal RNA, 253 nt
Filed under: uncultured bacterium
Lineage: Bacteria
Description: partial 16S ribosomal RNA
Rfam family: Bacterial small subunit ribosomal RNA
Source: RNAcentral
UACGUAGGGCGCGAGCGUUGUCCGGAUUUAUUGGGCGUAAAGAGCUCGUAGGCGGCUCGUUGCGUCAACCGUGAAAACCCACGGCUUAACUGUGGGCUUGCGGUCGAUACGGGCAGGCUGGAGUUCGGUAGGGGAGACUGGAAUUCCUGGUGUAGCGGUGAAAUGCGCAGAUAUCAGGAGGAACACCGGUGGCGAAGGCGGGUCUCUGGGCCGAUACUGACGCUGAGGAGCGAAAGCGUGGGGAGCGAACAGG